RNAcentral lists this ribosomal RNA (514 nucleotides) under uncultured bacterium. RNAcentral's name for it is "bacterial SSU rRNA". It matches the Rfam family "Bacterial small subunit ribosomal RNA", at positions 15 to 518 of the family's 1533-position model. The record is from RNAcentral.
GAUCCUGGCUUAGGAUGAACGCUAGCUACAGGCUUAACACAUGCAAGUCGCGGGGCAGCAUAUAGAUAGCUUGCUAUUAUGAUGGCGACCGGCGCACGGGUGAGUAACGCGUAUCCAACCUUCCCCAUAGUAGGGUAUAGCCCGGCGAAAGUCGGAUUAAUCCCCUAUGUUGUUUGAGGCGGACAUCUAAUUCAAACCAAAGAUUCAUCGCUAUGGGAUGGGGAUGCGUCUGAUUAGGUUGCAGGCGGGUAACGGCCCACCUGGCCGACGAUCAGUAGGGGUUCUGAGAGGAAGGUCCCCCACACUGGUACUGAGACACGGACCAGACUCCUACGGGAGGCAGCAGUGAGGAAUAUUGGUCAAUGGGCGCGAGCCUGAACCAGCCAAGUAGCGUGCCAGGAUGACGGCCCUACGGGUUGUAAACUGCUUUUAUGCGGGGAUAAAGUGCGGCCACGUGUGCCGUUUUGCAGGUACCGCAUGAAUAAGGACCGGCUAAUUCCGUGCCAGCAGCGGC